AAUGCAGUGCCUGAAAAAGGAUUAUUUUGAUAGAAUAAAUUAUAUAAUUUUAUAAAAUUAUCUCCAUUU
RNAcentral lists this transfer RNA (69 nucleotides) under Dryinus sp. ZJUH_2016011. RNAcentral's name for it is "tRNA-Ile". The record is from RNAcentral. Lineage: Eukaryota; Metazoa; Arthropoda; Insecta; Hymenoptera; Dryinidae.